Molecule: transfer RNA, 68 nt
Filed under: Marmota monax (woodchuck)
Lineage: Eukaryota; Metazoa; Chordata; Mammalia; Rodentia; Sciuridae
Description: tRNA.Ala
Rfam family: tRNA (bases 3-63)
About the family: Transfer RNA (tRNA) molecules are approximately 80 nucleotides in length. Their secondary structure includes four short double-helical elements and three loops (D, anti-codon, and T loops).
Source: RNAcentral
GUUGUAGCUCAGUGGUAGAGCGCUUGCUUUGCAUGCAUGAGGCACUGGGUUCAAUCCUUGGCAUCACA